CUCUUACUUAAUCUUAUUAAUUUAACUCAGGUUUCGUGGGGCAAGGACCAGUGCCGUACCACUGAGCUCCACCCCGGCCCCAAGUUAAGUUAGAAAACUAACUAAGUGCUCCAUCCCACAGGGAAGGUGGUCUGGGGCAGAGACACCGGCGUCCUGUCCCUGUCCAAGGCUUCCUGCUCCACGCCAGGUCCCCAGGGCUAAGUGGAGCAGACGGCCCCCCAGAUUCAAGGGGUGUUCCCAACUUCCCUUCGCAGUGUGGUGUGGCCAUUUGACCGAGUUCUAAGUGAGCUGAACUGGUGGUGUGUGGAGCUUCCCAGAAGUGCCCUUAAAGAGAGGGGGUAUGGCCUUCCAAAUCCCCUUCUUCCCUUCUACUGGAAUGCAAGCAUGAGAGCUGGAGCACAGGCAGCACUGUUGGAUAAGGAGGAGGUAAACCAACUAGAAGGAGCCUGGCUCCCUAAGGACCACAGAGCCGCCCUCGAAGGCCACAGCAGGACUGAGCUGUGCAGGAGAAGUGCAGUUCUUUUAUUGAAGACACUGCCUCUUGCAGAUUUCAGACGCUUGCCACAAAGUCUCCCCUGCAGUGAAUGUAAAAAUAACGAUGGCUGUCAUGAAAAAGUGGCGUUCUGGAGCCCUCAGGGGCAGCUUCCUCGUCAGAGGACAGAGCAGGUCAUCCACCCAGGUGGAUUUCCUCAGUUUGUUCUGAGGGACCAGCGGGGAACGGAAAGCAAAGAUGUCCUCACCGUGUGGCUCAAGGUGACAGCGCCAAGCUGCUCACCGCACUGCGGCACUGCGCCUGGCGUCCCCGCACCCAGGCCCUGCUGCCCGCCUCUACCUCCGGCCCCAGCCACCAGUCUCCCUGGGGCAGUCACCAGCAUCCAGCGUCCACCAGCAGAUGGUGUUUGUCACCACGCUCAGCCUCUGGGACUCCGUGACCGGCUUCUCUCUCUGCUCCUCAGCAUCACGCAGCCUCCCUAUGGGCCCUCGCCCUGGCCGAGCGCCACGGUCAGCUGGCCGGGGGACCGGGCGUGUGAGCGCCUCAGCUGCCCGCCGUCCUCCUCCCUGUGAAGUGGGCGCCUUCCUCCAGGGAGUCCACGUGCGUCCUGAGCUUCACAGCCACCAAGCCCCUGGGACACCUGAGGGCAGGGCCAGGAGCUGGCCGCCUGCGACUACUGCCUCAGCCUCGUCCCCUUCACCCAGCAGGUCCCUCCCGGGUCACGGCCUGACUUCCUUGUGGACUGGCCACCCCGGGAUUCACCUUCUGUUUCCACACCCCAGCAGGGAGCUGGGCCCAGCUGGGCGCAGGAAACCGACCGCGGGAGGUGACGGGGUGACAGCGAGACAAAUGACGGGCACCCCCUGCGCCCCGAGCCACACCGUGUUCUCGGGGUGUGCAGGCUCAGGGUGGGGGACCUGGGACCAGGCUCCUGCGGCCCUGCAGCUGCCCAGCUGCUUCCUGAUGCUGGCGUCCUGGGGACGGGCCACACGAGGCUCCGAGCCCCGACCGGGAACCAGGCCUCCUGAUUCUGAGCCAGAGGGGCCCCGUGAGAGUCAGUCCCAGCCUGGGCGCCCGCGUGUGUGUGGGCAGGACGGCGUGUUCCUUCCUGGAGCCAGGGAGUGACUAACGCGCUGCAGGAGGACCAGCAGGUACAGCAGGCCUCGCUGCCCUGCCCUGCGGCCUGGCGGUGCCGCCCCGUCCCAGCACCCAGGGCCUCUCAGCGCCUCCCUCGCCGGGCUCCUCCCUGCCCCCCCACACACACACACACACACGCUGUGACUGGCUGCCUUCCCGCCUGCGACCCUCCCGCGGGCUGCCCUCCUCACCCCUCCUCCUGGGCCGGGCGCAGGCUGUGAGGCCCCGGGCGACUUCCCGAGCCUCUCUGGGCUUCAUGUAAGAUGCCCCUCAGUCCAGCCCCCUUCAGUGAGCUCCUACCAAGUCUGCGGCGUCUCGGGAGGAGCAGUGGGGACGCUUACUUGUCCCUGUCUGUUCUCUUGUACCUUGAAGUGUCCCGCCAUGUGUGAGGGGGACAUUCAGAUUUUAUUAGGAUAAUAAUGACCAAUGAAAUGAGACUUCGGAAUGGGGAAACCUGUCACCCCAAGCCGUGAGGACGAAGGGUCAGGUCCGGUGCCCAGAAAAAAGGAAGUGCUCACUUAACUCCACCCCCUGGGCCGCUGUCCCCCCCCCCCUCCUCCCGUGGCCUCCCCCGCCCAGCCUGGCCUCCUGGAGGGCCGAGGCGACCGGCUGCCCUCCCCUCCGCGCUCUCGCCCACCCCUCCUCCCACCGUCAUCCGCCAUCCUCCUCCCCCCUGCCACCCGUCCGUCCUCCCCGUCCAUCACCCACACCUUCAUCUGCCCCGUCACUGCCCGUUGUGCACCUGCUGUGUGCCGGGGGAGGGGGAGACAGACGUCCCGACCUCCGCCUCAUGGAGACCACUUUCAGGUGAUGUUCGGGUUCAGAUGUGAGUGUCCCCAGAAGCUCCUGUGUGAGAGGGUGCAAGGAGGUCCCGGGAGCCUCAGCCUGCUCAGUGCGUUGGUUGCUGUCAGGGACUGCCGGCCACUGUGGGCAGGUGGGGUGUGGCUGGAGGAGGCGGGUCACUGGGGACCUGUCUUGGGGUUUCUGUUUUGUCCCUGGUGAGCGGAGGGAGCGCUCUCUGCGUCCUGGUGGCCGUGGCCUGGGCUGCUUCCCUCCGACACUGUCCACCACGGCGUUCUGCCCCGCCUUGGGCCCAGAGCACUGGUCGGCCUCUGUGGCCUGAGACCUGACCCCAGAGACCCUGUGAGCCUUUCCUCCUCCGCACUCGUUCCGUCAGGUCUUUGGGUCCCAGUGCUGAGCCCCGACGUGGCCGGGGAGGCCAUCAGAGGGCCUCUACUCCGCAGUGUGCGGCUGUUGCUGGGCUGGACGCCCGUGUCGAGGCCCAGGCUGGAGGAGGGCAGCGAUGUGGGGCAUGCUCCCCGUGGGCAGGAGGCAGGGUGACAGGCCAGCCUGGAGCCGGGAGCUGAGCAGGGGGAGCUGGGAGGACCUCAAGGUCCCGGAGGGAAUCUGAACUGGGUCCUAAGCGCAGGCGUUGGGGCCUGGCACAUUCAGGUGUGGAGGGACUGGGGGGACGUGUCCCGUGUGUAAGGCAAGAGGUCCUGUGUGUAAGGUUCUGCAAGAGCCCAGUGGGAGGCAGGGUCUGGCAGGCGGGAGGGGCUGCAGGCGGGAAGCUCAGGAGACUGUGGCAGAGGGGACAGAGUGGGGGUCCUGCUGGCUUUCCACCCCGCCGAAACAGCGCCCCCAAACCAGGAGGCUUGCAGCAGGGAUCUGCUCUUUCAGAUCCUGGAGGCUGGUCCCAAAUUGUGGAGGGGCAGGCUCCUAGCUCCCUGCAGAGGCUCGGGGUCCAGCUGCCUCGUCCACUACUGGCAGCUCUCAGCAGCUCUUGGCAGGCCACUACAACCCCUGUCCCUGUCACGGUGGCCAUGGCCUGGUCCCUGUGUGUUUACCUGAUCCUCUUACAAGGCCACCAGUCACCGAGUUAGAACCCACCCCUGUGCAGCGUGGCCUCAGCCAAAGCUCUCUCCGCAGACCAGCUCAAGUUUGAUGCUCCAGGUGGACGUCACGUUUGGGGGACACACUCUUCACCCCAGCACAGGGGCCAGCAGCAUCUAAAUGGUCAUGGUCAUCGGAGAGAGCAGAUGGCGGGGAGAGGGCUGGUGGCAGCCCUCAGCAAUGUGUAAGGGGUCGCCAGAGGAUUAGGCGCCCCACAGGUCCAGCUGUGGAUGCCGAGUAACAGAAUCGCGGACCUGGACUCCUGGACCCCAGGCCUCCUGGGGCACCUGCGCCCAGCCUGGCAGCCUCCCCGCCUCCCCUGGCCCGGCCUCCACUGUGCCAGCAGAGCCCCUCACUGCACGUGACGAGCGGAGCUCAGCUGGCGGCCUCUGCCCCUUCAGGUGUGCCAGGCCUUCCCCAGCCAGGCCCAGGUGCCCGCAGGUCCAGCCCCACAGCACCCUGCUGGCACUGAGGCCUGUGGUCACUCCUACAUCACAGAAGAGAAAACCUGAGGCCCAGGAAGUGGGGGUCCAGGGUCAGAUCUGGAGGGCUGGCCCCUGGCUUGUCACUGGAUGGCUCCAGCACCACCAGAGGACGUUCAGGCCAGGCCUGGGCUCUGCUCCCGGGCUCCCUGAAGCUGCCCAGUCCGGCCCUGCCUGGGGCCGCUGCCUGCGCUGCCCUCUGUCUCCUAGGACAGAGCAGGUGUGGGCCUGAGCCCUGGGCCGGGGGCAGGAGGUUCCCGCUGGGAUGGCCGCCGCUGUCUCCGGCCUGGAGCUCUGCCCCAGCGAGGCCCCCAGGCCCAGGAGGUGAGCUGCAGGCCUGCCCGGAUGCCCGCCUGCCCGGAUGCCCGCCUGCCCUGCCCUCCCGGCCCGGGGGCCACGCCCGUCCCGC
Molecule: long non-coding RNA, 4414 nt
Filed under: Marmota monax (woodchuck)
Lineage: Eukaryota; Metazoa; Chordata; Mammalia; Rodentia; Sciuridae
Source: RNAcentral